CCGUGAGUCUUCGGACGAGCGGAUAAUGUCCCUAAACCGGUUUCCUAGAAAAUCUUCUAAGCUUCAGAUAUAUGUUACCCGUACCGCAAACCGACACAGGUAGUCAAGGAGAGAAUCCUAAGGUGCUCGAGUGAAUCAUGGCUAAGGAACUCGGCAAAAUAGUCCUGUAACUUCGGGAGAAAGGACGCCCCGAGCAAUCGGGGCCGCAGUGAAUAGGCCCAGGCGACUGUUUAUCAAAAACACAGGGCUUUGCCAAAUCGAAAGAUGAUGUAUAAGGCCUGACACCUGCCCGGUGCUGGAAGGUUAAGAGGGGGGGUUAUCCUUUAGGGGAGAAGCUCUGAAUCGAAGCCCCAGUAAACGGCGGCCGUAACAAUAACGGUCCUAAGGUAGCGAAAUUCCUUGUCGGGUAAGUUCCGACCUGCACGAAUGGUGUAACGAUCUGGGCACUGUCUCAGCCAUGAGCUCGGUGAAAUUGUAGUUCCUGUGAAGAUGCCGGAUACCCGCAACGGGACGGAAAGACCCCGUGAACCUUUACUAUAGCUUAACAUUGAUUUUGGGUAAGUAAUGUGUAGGAUAGGUGGGAGACUACGAAGCGACUUCGCUAGGAGUCGUGGAGUCAACCUUGAAAUACCACCCUUUAUUUGCUUGGAAUCUAACUCUGCAAAGAGGACAGUGUUUGGUGGGUAGUUUGACUGGGGUGGUCGCCUCCAAAAGUGUAACGGAGGCUUCUAAAGGUACCCUCAGCAUGAUUGGUAACCAUGCGUAGAGUGCAAUGGCACAAGGGUGCUUGACUGUGAGACUGACAAGUCGAUCAGGUAGGAAACUAGAGCAUAGUGAUCCGGUGGUUCCGCAUGGAAGGGCCAUCGUUCAAAGGAUAAAAGGUACUCCGGGGAUAACAGGCUUAUCGCUCCCAAGAGCUCAUAUCGACGGAGCGGUUUGGCACCUCGAUGUCGGCUCGUCACAUCCUGGGGCUGGAGAAGGUCCCAAGGGUUGGGCUGUUCGCCCAUUAAAGUGGCACGCGAGCUGGGUUCAGAACGUCGUGAGACAGUUCGGUCCCUAUCUGUUGUGGGCGUUGGAAAUUUGAGAGGCCCUGCUUCUAGUACGAGAGGACCGGAGCGGACAAACCUCUGGUGUAUCUGUUGUGGCGCCAGCUGCAUUGCAGAGUAGCCACGUUUGGAAGAGAUAAGCGCUGAAAGCAUCUAAGCGCGAAGCUUUCCUC
This 1219-nucleotide ribosomal RNA is filed under the name metagenome. Its description in RNAcentral is "bacterial LSU rRNA". It matches the Rfam family "Bacterial large subunit ribosomal RNA", at positions 1564 to 2800 of the family's 2925-position model. The record is from RNAcentral.